CCUACGGGAGGCAGCAGUAGGGAAUAUUGCACAAUGGAGGAAACUCUGAUGCAGCCAUGCCGCGUGUGUGAAGAAGGCCUUCGGGUUGUAAAGCACUUUCGGAGGGGAGGAAAAGAUGACGUUACCCUCAGAAGAAGCACCGGCUAACUCCGUGCCAGCAGCCGCGGUAAUAAGG
RNAcentral lists this ribosomal RNA (175 nucleotides) under uncultured bacterium. RNAcentral's name for it is "partial 16S ribosomal RNA". It matches the Rfam family "Bacterial small subunit ribosomal RNA", at positions 338 to 528 of the family's 1533-position model. The record is from RNAcentral.